Molecule: small nuclear RNA, 106 nt
Organism: Myotis daubentonii (Daubenton's bat)
Lineage: Eukaryota; Metazoa; Chordata; Mammalia; Chiroptera; Vespertilionidae
Source: RefSeq, a predicted model, not a curated record
GUGCUCACUUUGGCAACACAUAUACUAAGAUUGGACUGAUACAGAGAAGAUUAGCAUGGCCCCUGCGCAGGAUGACACGCAAAUUCACGAAGCCUUCCAUAAUUUU